UACGUAGGGGGCAAGCGUUUGUCCGGGAAUCAUUGGGCGUAAAGAGCGUGUAGGCGGCUCGAUAAGUCCGCUCUGAAAGCCCGGGCUCACCCCGGGAGGCGGGCGGAUACUGUCGAGCUAGAGUCCGGAAGAGGCGAGUGGAAUUCCCUGGUGUAGCGGUGAAAUGCGCAGAUAUCAGGAGGAACACCAAUGGCGAAGGCAGCUCGCUGGGACGGUACUGACGCUGAGACGCGAAAGCGUGGGGAGCAAACAGG
This 254-nucleotide ribosomal RNA is filed under the name uncultured bacterium. RNAcentral's name for it is "partial 16S ribosomal RNA". It matches the Rfam family "Bacterial small subunit ribosomal RNA", at positions 524 to 776 of the family's 1533-position model. The record is from RNAcentral.